AACGAACGCUGGCGGCAUGCCUAACACAUGCAAGUCGAACGAGACCUUCGGGUCUAGUGGCGCACGGGUGCGUAACGCGUGGGAACCUGCCCUUAGGUUCGGAAUAACUCCCCGAAAGGGGUGCUAAUACCGGAUAAUGUCUUCGGACCAAAGAUUUAUCGCUUUUGGAUGGGCCCGCGUUGGAUUAGCUAGUUGGUAGGGUAAAAGCCUACCAAGGCGACGAUCCAUAGCUGGUCUGAGAGGAUGAUCAGCCACACUGGGACUGAGACACGGCCCAGACUCCUACGGGAGGCGGCAGUGGGGAAUAUUGGACGAUGGGCGAAAGCCUGAUACAGCAAUGCCGCGUGAGUGAUGAAGGCCUUAGGGUUGUAAAGCUCUUUUACCCGGGAUGAUAAUGACAGUACCGGGAGAAUAAGCUCCGGCUAACUCCGUG
Molecule: ribosomal RNA, 433 nt
Filed under: uncultured bacterium
Lineage: Bacteria
Description: partial 16S ribosomal RNA
Rfam family: Bacterial small subunit ribosomal RNA
Source: RNAcentral